GACGAACGCUGGCGGCGUGCUUAACACAUGCAAGUCGAACGGAAAGGCCCUGCUUUUGUGGGGUGCUCGAGUGGCGAACGGGUGAGUAACACAUGAGUAACCUGCCCUUGACUUUGGGAUAACUUCAGGAAACUGGGGCUAAUACCGGAUAGGAGCUCAUGCUGCAUGGUGGGGGUUGGAAAGUUUCGGCGGUUGGGGAUGGACUCGCGGCUUAUCAGCUUGUUGGUGGGGUAGUGGCUUACCAAGGCUUUGACGGGUAGCCGGCCUGAGAGGGUGACCGGCCACAUUGGGACUGAGAUACGGCCCAGACUCCUACGGGAGGCAGCAGUGGGGAAUAUUGCACAAUGGGCGGAAGCCUGAUGCAGCAACGCCGCGUGCGGGAUGACGGCCUUCGGGUUGUAAACCGCUUUCGCCUGUGACGAAGCGUGAGUGACGGUAAUGGGUAAAGAAGCACCGGCUAACUACGUG
Molecule: ribosomal RNA, 468 nt
Filed under: uncultured bacterium
Lineage: Bacteria
Description: partial 16S ribosomal RNA
Rfam family: Bacterial small subunit ribosomal RNA
Source: RNAcentral